CCCUUAGAUGUUCUGGGCUGCACGCGCGCUACACUGACAUGUCCAGCGAGCUCCCAACCUGCUCGGCAAAGAAUGGGUACCCUUUUUAACGCAUGUCGUGAUGGGGAUAGAUUAUUGCAAUUGUUGAUCUUGAACGAGGAAUUCCUAGUAAGUGCAAGUCAUUAGCUUGUGCUGAAUACGUCCCUGCCCUUUGUACACACCGCCCGUCGCUCCUACCGAUUGAGUGCUCCGGUGAACAAUUUGGACUGCUUUGAUUCUAUUAGAAUUUGAAGCGGAAAGUUUAGUGAACCUUAUCACUUAGAGGAAGGAGAAGUCGUAACA
RNAcentral lists this ribosomal RNA (321 nucleotides) under uncultured eukaryote. RNAcentral's name for it is "partial 18S ribosomal RNA". It matches the Rfam family "Eukaryotic small subunit ribosomal RNA", at positions 1470 to 1796 of the family's 1831-position model. The record is from RNAcentral.